Molecule: ribosomal RNA, 490 nt
Filed under: uncultured bacterium
Lineage: Bacteria
Description: bacterial SSU rRNA
Rfam family: Bacterial small subunit ribosomal RNA
Source: RNAcentral
GAGUUUGAUCCUGGCUCAGAUUGAACGCUGGCGGCAGGCCUAACACAUGCAAGUCGAGCGGUAGAGAGAAGCUUGCUUCUCUUGAGAGCGGCGGACGGGUGAGUAAUGCCUAGGAAUCUGCCUGGUAGUGGGGGAUAACGCUCGGAAACGGACGCUAAUACCGCAUACGUCCUACGGGAGAAAGCAGGGGACCUUCGGGCCUUGCGCUAUCAGAUGAGCCUAGGUCGGAUUAGCUAGUUGGUGAGGUAAUGGCUCACCAAGGCGACGAUCCGUAACUGGUCUGAGAGGAUGAUCAGUCACACUGGAACUGAGGCACGGUCCAGACUCCUACGGGAGGCAGCAGUGGGGAAUAUUGGACAAUGGGCGAAAGCCUGAUCCAGCCAUGCCGCGUGUGUGAAGAAGGUACUUCGGAUUGUAAAGCACUUUAAGUUGGGUAGGAAGGGCAGUAAAUUAAUACUUUGCUGUUUUGACGUUACCGACAGAAUAAGCA